Molecule: non-coding RNA, 971 nt
Filed under: Treron sieboldii (white-bellied green-pigeon)
Lineage: Eukaryota; Metazoa; Chordata; Aves; Columbiformes; Columbidae
Description: 12S ribosomal RNA
Rfam family: Bacterial small subunit ribosomal RNA
Source: RNAcentral
AAAGACUUAGUCCUAACCUUACCGUUAACUUUUGCUAGGUAUAUACAUGCAAGUAUCCGCGCCCCAGUGUAAAUGCCCUCAGCCCCUAUUUCCACGGACAAGAGGAGCUGGCAUCAGGCACGCCCAUUGCAGCCCAAGACGCCUUGCUCAGCCACACCCCCACGGGUACUCAGCAGUAAUUAACAUUAAGCAAUAAGUGAAAACUUGACUUAGCUAUAGCAACACCUAGGGUUGGUAAAUCUUGUGCCAGCCACCGCGGUCACACAAGAGACCCAAGUUAACCGUACACGGCGUAAAGAGUGGACCCACGAUAUCACAAUAGUUAAAGUCAAAAUGUAGCUGAGCUGUCAUAAGCCCAAGAUACACCUAAACCCACCCUAAAUAUGACCUUAAUCCAUACGACAAACUAAAUUCCACGAAAGCUAGGGCACAAACUGGGAUUAGAUACCCCACUAUGCCUAGCCUUAAAUCUUGAUGCUUACCCCACCAAAGCAUCCGCCUGAGGACUACGAGCACAAACGCUUAAAACUCUAAGGACUUGGCGGUGCCCCAAACCCACCUAGAGGAGCCUGUUCUGUAAUCGACAACCCACGAUACACCCGACCACUUCUUGCCAAUAACAGCCUACAUACCGCCGUCGUCAGCCCACCUUCCCUGAAAGUACAGCAGUGAGCACAAUCGCCCUAACCCCCGCUAAUAAGACAGGUCAAGGUAUAGCCCAUGAAGUGGAAGAAAUGGGCUACAUUUUCUAGCUUAGAAAACUUACGGAAGGGGAUAUGAAAUAGCCCCCGGAAGGCGGAUUUAGCAGUAAAGCGGAACAAUGAAGCCCCCUUUAAACUGGCUCUGAGGCACGUACAUACCGCCCGUCACCCUCCUCAUAAGCUUUAUCCUUCAAUAAAUAAUGAACUCACUUGCCAAAGAUGAGGUAAGUCGUAACAAGGUAAGUGUACCGGAAGGUGCACUUAGUACAC